RNAcentral lists this transfer RNA (74 nucleotides) under Polyangiaceae bacterium. RNAcentral's name for it is "tRNA-Arg". It matches the Rfam family "tRNA". Rfam says of the family: Transfer RNA (tRNA) molecules are approximately 80 nucleotides in length. The record is from RNAcentral. Lineage: Bacteria; Pseudomonadati; Myxococcota; Polyangiales; Polyangiaceae.
GCGCCACUAGCUCAGCUGGAUAGAGUAUCGGCCUCCGAAGCCGAGGGUCGAAGGUUCGAAUCCUUCGUGGCGCA